UUUUUUUUUUUUUUUUUUUACAGAAAAGCCUUGGCACCGUAGCAGCCUCCCCCGCUUCUUCUCCACUAGGACGCCCGCCUGACUAACCCCAUUGCACAAUUCCUACCGUGGAACUGCCGCGUGACUCGGCGGGAGCCCAAAAGUUUCCCAGGUUUCCCUAGCCUAGAAAAGCGUGGGUGGGUGUCCUGCCCUGACCCCAGGCGCCCUUUAAGUUGUAUUUCUUCGGGUAACUGGGGUGCCCUUUAAAGUGUAGAAAUAGACCUUUAUUUUGAAAGAAAGAAAAUCUCAGGAGCUCGCUGGCCCCCCAGGUCUAGGUUGGCGCCGGGUGACUGCAACGAAACGCGUUUCUUUUCCCAUGUACAUUUUCAGACGGUAAAAGUGUUUCGAUCUGUUUGGGGAAGAAGUCAGGCGCUGGUUUUAAAGGAGGAAGGGGAGUGAUACUUAAAAGCAGAGACACAAUCUGGAGCGCUCCAAGAAUCAUAGUGUUUAUUAACAAUGAUUGUGCUUAGUAGACACUGCGAAAAUAUCAAACAAAUGAAUAUUUGGAGGAGGGAUUUAAAUGGGUGUCUACAGGCCAACGCUUUCAUUCUGCAGAGAGAAAACCUAGAGGUUAAGUGAUUUGCCUAAAGUCACCUGGCCAAUUAAUGUGGAAGGCAGGAAUGGAAUCUGUCUCGUUUUAACUCCAAAUUUUCGUUAUGAGAAGGGUGCGUUUUCCUCUCUUUAUGAAAAAAAAAAAAAAACCUUCUGCAGUAAUCUCUGUAAAGCCAUACUCCACUCCCUCUGUCUACGCAUCUAAAGCAAACAUACAAAACACAAAAGAAAACAGCAAUCCCCAAAUGCAAUGCAUGCACUCAAAUAGGCUAAAUUUGGCAAUGCCAAAACAAGAUAGUAACAAGGCAUUUUAGUUCUUAUUCCUGUAAAUAACACUUUUUUGUUUUGUUUUGUGUUUUGAGACAUAUUCUUGGUCUGUCACCCAGGCUGGAGCGCAGUGGCACGAUCUCACCUGGACAACAAGAGCAAAAUGCCAUCUUAAAAAAAAAAAAAAAGUGAAUUCUCUGUGGUUAUUAGAGGCUGGGAAGGGUAGUGGGAGGGGAAGAUGAUGAGAGGUUACAUAACAAAUACAAAUUUACAGCUGGAUGAGAGGAAUAAGUUCUAGUGUUCUAUAGCACUAUAGGGUGCAUAUCGGUAACAAUAAUUUAAUGUAUUUUUUCCAAGAAACUAGAAGACUUUUGAAUGUUCACAAAGAAAGAAAAUCUUCAAGGUGAUUGAUAUGCUAAUUACCCAGAUUUGAUCAUUGCACAUUGUACACAUGUCCUGAAAUAUCAUUGUAUCCAAUAAAUACGUACUGUGUCAACUAGAAAUAAAGGGAAAAUCAAUUAAUUCUUUAAAAAUAUGUGAGUUAUCUCCAAUUGACCUAUAGAUUUGAUUGCAAUUCCAAUUAAAAUCCCAGCAGACUUUUUGAUGGAACUUGACAACUUAAUUAUAAAAUGUAUAUGGAAGUGCAAAGGGCCAAAAUUAGCCAAGAUGAUCUUGCAGAAGAAUAAGUUAGGGGACUUGCCAUUCCAGAUAUUAAAAUUUUAAAAGUCAUAAUAAUGAAGAUAUAAAUAAGUAUUGGUGAGGGAUAUAAAAAAAAAAUCAAUGAAUUUGAAGAGAGAACCCAGACUUAAAUCACUCAUAUAUAAAUGGAGGCACUAAAGAAUAAAGGAGAAAGAUAAAAGAAACUUUCAGUAAAUGGUGCUGGGAUGAUUGGGUAUCCAGUCACAAAAAUGAAAUUGGACCCUUACUUUAUACCAUACAUAGGAAUAAUUCCCAGGUGAAUUAAAAAUCUGGCAAAAUUGUAAAAAUCUUAGAAAAUAAUAUGGGAGAAAAUAUGUGUUACCUUGAGGCAGGAAAGUUUUCCUAAAUAAGACACAAAAUACACUCGCCAUAAAAUAAAAGAUCGGUAAACUAGAGUACAUUAAAACUGAGAAUAUUUAUUCAUCAAAACUCUUAAUAUAACACCUACCAUCAAUUGGGAAAAGAUAUAUAAUUGCCCAGGUGCGGGGCUCACGUUUGUAAUCCCAGCGCUUUGGGAGGCCGAGGCGGGCGGAUCACAAGGUUCAAGACCAGCCUGGUGAAUAUGGUGAAACCCCGUCUCUACUAAAAAUACAAAAAUUAGCAGGCAUGGUGGCGCACAUCUCCCGCCGUCCCAGCUACUGGGGAGGUGGAGGCAGAAGAAUUGCUUAAACCCGGGAGGCGGAGUUUGCAGUAAGCUGAAAUCAUGCCACUGCAUUCCAGCCUAGGCGACAGAGGGAGGCUCCAUCUCAAACAAAACAAACAAACAAAAAAAAAAAAUUUGUGAGUCAAUGACAGACUAACACAAGGUAGGAAAAUGGGAAAAAGAUUAAAACAGGUACCUUAUAAAAGAGGAAACUCAAAUCAUCAUAAACAUAUGAAAAGAUGCUCAACCUUGUGAGUAAGAAGGAAAAUGCCAAGUAGAACCACAUUGAAAUAUUUUUGCAUACCCAACACAUAAAUACAAGUAAGCCUGACAAUUUCAAAUAAGGAAAAUGCUGUGGAAUGAUGGGAAUUUUAUACACUGCUAGUAAGCUUGUAAAUUUGUACAAGUACUCUGAAAAACAGUUUGGCAUUACCUAGAAAGAUUGAACAUGUAUAUAUCCUAUGACUUUGCAAUUCUGCCCCCAGUUAUAUACCCUAGAGGAAUUCUUGCAGUAGGAAACAUGUACUUGAAUGUUCAUAGCAGCAUUGUUCAUAAUAAAAAACUGGAAGCAAUCCAAAUGUCCAACAAAAAUACAAUAUAUAGUCUCAUGUACUCAUUAAAGGGGAUACUGUUACACAGCAGUGAAAAUAAAGAACUAACCAGGCACAGUGGCUGAUGGCUAUAAUCCCAGCACUUUGAGAGGCGGAGGCGGGUAGAUCACUUGAGCUCAGGAGUUCAAGACCAACCUGGGCAACAUAGCAAAAUCCCCUGUCUACAAAAAAUACAAAAAUUAUCCAGGUGUGGUGGCACGUGCCUGCAGUCCCAGCUACUUGGGAGGCUGAGAUGGGAAGAUCAAUUGAGCCCAGGCGGUGGAGGCUGCAGUGAGCUGAGAUCAUGCCACUACACUCCAGCCUGGGUGAGUGAGAUCCUGUCUAAAAAAAAAAAGAAAAAAGAACUAACAUCUAUGCACAUCAAUAUAGACGACAGGAACAAAAUGUUGAGAGAAGUAAGUCACAGAAGAAAACAUACACUAUGGGCUGGGUGCAGUGGCUCAUGCCUGUA
This 3262-nucleotide long non-coding RNA is filed under the name Macaca fascicularis (crab-eating macaque). RNAcentral's name for it is "lncRNA (ENSMFAG00000053574.1)". Lineage: Eukaryota; Metazoa; Chordata; Mammalia; Primates; Cercopithecidae. The record is from RNAcentral.